UGGGGAAUUUUGGACAAUGGGCGAAAGCCUGAUCCAGCAAUGCCGCGUGUGUGAAGAAGGCCUUCGGGUUGUAAAGCACUUUUGUCCGGAAAGAAAUCCUUGGCUCUAAUACAGUCGGGGGAUGACGGUACCGGAAGAAUAAGCACCGGCUAACUACGUGCCAGCAGCCGCGGUAAUACGUAGGGUGCAAGCGUUAAUCGGAAUUACUGGGCGUAAAGCGUGCGCAGGCGGUUUGCUAAGACCGAUGUGAAAUCCCCGGGCUCAACCUGGGAACUGCAUUGGUGACUGGCAGGCUAGAGUAUGGCAGAGGGGGGUAGAAUUCCACGUNUAGCAGUGAAAUGCGUAGAGAUGUGGAGGAAUACCGAUGGCGAAGGCAGCCCCCUGGGCCAAUACUGACGCUCAUGCACGAAAGCGUGGGGAGCAAACAGGAUUAGAUACCCUGGUAGUCCACGCCCUAAAACGAUGUCAACUAGUUGUUGGGGAUUCAUUUCCUUAGUAACGUAGCUAACGCGUGAAGUUGACCGCCUGGGGAGUACGGUCGCAAGAUUAAAACUUAAAUGAAUUGACGGGGUCAUA
This 576-nucleotide ribosomal RNA is filed under the name uncultured bacterium. RNAcentral describes it as "partial 16S ribosomal RNA". It matches the Rfam family "Bacterial small subunit ribosomal RNA", at positions 355 to 923 of the family's 1533-position model. The record is from RNAcentral.